RNAcentral lists this non-coding RNA (133 nucleotides) under Zea mays. RNAcentral describes it as "Bacterial small subunit ribosomal RNA". It matches the Rfam family "Bacterial small subunit ribosomal RNA", at positions 1388 to 1520 of the family's 1533-position model. Lineage: Eukaryota; Viridiplantae; Streptophyta; Magnoliopsida; Poales; Poaceae. The record is from Rfam by way of RNAcentral.
CACCGCCCGUCAUACUAUAGGAGCUGGCCACGUUUGAAGUCAUUACCCUUAACAGUAAGGAGGGGAUGCCUAAGGUUAGGCUGGCAACUGGAGUGAAGUCUUAACAAUGUAGUCGUACUAGGUGGUGUAGCUA